CCCUGGUACCGGCUUUUAUCACAGAUAGACCAGAUCUUUGAUAGACCAGGGUGCAUUUAUUUUCUCUUCUUUUCCCUUUUACACAAUAAUAAGGUUUUUUCAUCCAAGAUGGGGGGGGGGUGGAAAUAGGCAGGGAGCAGAGAGGAGGGCUGACAUAUACAGCCCAUGGAGAGCUUUGAGAGGAGCGCGAUUCCCAAAGCUGUAAUUACUGCCUGCGUUUUUUUGGCUACAGAUCUGCUGCUAAAUUGGUUGGAAGGCACGGAAAUGGCAGUUACACCUUUCAGCAGGAAAAAAAUGUGCUUUGGUGGAGAAACAUGCCUUGGGAAACCCUCCGAAAAUCUGCAACCCCCAUCUAGCACCCCAGCCUUACAGAGCCCUCCAGGAACUGGAAAAUCCAGAUUUGCUGCAUCUCCCAGGGAGACAAUUUCCUACGUGCCCCCCCCCAGCACGAGGGUCCUACUGAAGGUUAAACUUGUGAGUGCCCCUGGUUUUGCACUGAUUUAAUCUCCCCCCCCCUAAAUAAAAGACAUGGGAAAUGCUGGUGAAAACUGCA
Molecule: long non-coding RNA, 553 nt
Organism: Pezoporus occidentalis (night parrot)
Lineage: Eukaryota; Metazoa; Chordata; Aves; Psittaciformes; Psittacidae
Exons: 2
Source: RefSeq, a predicted model, not a curated record